CGGUGUCAAGACCCUCAGAGUCUUUGAGGAAAGAGCCAAGCAGAGAAGACCGCUGCGUGGAGUGUGACACCACAUGGCAUUUCUCAAGCCCAGCGGACCCUGUGUCAGCAAAUACCAGUAAUUUAACAUCUGCUCCUGGCCUCCUCUUCACCUGCCUGGGUUCGGAACUGAGGAGGAAGGAUGAGAAGAGACUGCAAUGCAGCAGGCACCCUCUGCAGAGUGAGGCCGCCCGUCCAUCACUGCCAGCCCUGGGCUGCUCAGGAGGGGACGUGAACCACUCAAAGGAAUGUCUUAAAGAGGAUCUGGAGUUUCCCCCAUGCAAAUUAGGGAAGAAUUAGGCAAGAAAAGACAUACAUUACAGGGAAAUCCUUCUGAACAAAAUGGCUGUCUUCACCUACUCUUCUUGCAAGAAAAGACAUACAUUACAGGGAAAUCCUUCUGAACAAAAUGGCUAUCUUCACCUACUCUUCAGCAAAAACCGUCUCCAGACUUUUUAGUGUCAAAAAUGUAACCAACUGUCUCCUGAUUUUUUCCAAUGUGUUUGGCAAGUGCUGUGGCCCUGUUGUAGGUACUUCUCCUGACUCUUGGGGGAGAAGUGGUUUUAGGGAUUGAUUUGGGGGAGCGGGUUUUUGUCCCAUCCCACCUCCUCUCUUCUUUCUCUGCUUGUCGAUAUUGUCUGUGUGAUUCAGAGAAUUGGGGCAGUUACAUUGUGUCUGUUGUUGAGAUUAUUAAAAGAUUAAAACGUAGUUGUAGAAAUGAAAAAUUAAACAGCUGUGUUUUAAAAAUGCAAACCAAUAUCUUGUUAAUAAAGGAAUUCAAGCUAUGGGGCAGCCACACUCCCCUCCUCCCAGGCUGGCAUAGGUGGCCCUGGGCUGGCGGCUUAGGAAGCAUGGAGCACACUUAGGGUAGUGCCUGCCUGGGCAAGAGACACCUGCCGAGCAAAAGGAACGAGAAUCUGGGGCUCAGAGCCUCGCAGUUGUGCCAGGAUUUUCCUAUACAUGUUCAGGACCUCUGGGUAGAGGUUUCACAGUUUGUGACCCCAUAACCACCCUCACCCGACGUGGGUUCUAGCUCAGUGUGCCUAAUACUGCAUGGUAACCUGGGCUUGACCCUGAAGCCCCUGCCUGGCAGGCCACAGGACCUCUCCUGCCCACUUGGUGCUAUCUCUUCCAGUGACCACCCAGCACGGGUGAGCACUGGCCAGCCUGGAGCCUGCAAUCCAGGUGGAACAGACUGUCCUCCAUGUCAGUUCCUUCUGGCUUCAGGCCCUCAAUUAUUUCCCUUUGAGCUUUUUUAGACCCUAGAUCUCCUAGGCCCAGGCUCUCUCUUGACCCCAGAGAAGCCACUGUCAGGAAAGGAAGUGAACCCUACUGAAGCCAGAGAAUUCACCCCGGCCAAAGCAGGCCCUCUGGGUCCAGCCCCUCAUUCCACACCACGCCAGUAUUGCAUCCAUCUACUGCAGCUACACAUCCUGAGGGCAGCACCACCCACUCUGGCCUGCUGGCCCAUCGCAGGACUAGCCCAGGCACCUGCCGGGCAUUGCAGGAUAUCCAGUGGGGCCUGUGACUGCUCCCUGAUGCGUCAGAAGAGAAGUGUUGCACUUUAGUGGAGGAGCUGAGGAGCACCUGCCCCCUUGUAGCUUGAGUUCCUUUUGGUAACAGUAGCAGCCUCCAUGGUGGUGUCUGGGAUGCACGUGCACCCGCUGCCUUCAGCUGUAUGUGUGUGUUCCUGCUGGAGUUGUGUUACUGACAGGAUAAUGACAUUACAAAGAAAUUGUGUUAUAUUCAACUUUGCCUUGAUAAUUAUUGUAAACACUUUGUUCAUUUUUUCUUUUUUAUUCACAAACUAAAUCCACCAGGAAAUUAUAAAGUUAUUUAAAAAC
Molecule: long non-coding RNA, 1882 nt
Filed under: Homo sapiens (human)
Lineage: Eukaryota; Metazoa; Chordata; Mammalia; Primates; Hominidae
Description: non-protein coding lnc-WNT5B-3:3
Source: RNAcentral